This 406-nucleotide ribosomal RNA is filed under the name uncultured bacterium. RNAcentral describes it as "partial 16S ribosomal RNA". It matches the Rfam family "Bacterial small subunit ribosomal RNA", at positions 30 to 526 of the family's 1533-position model. The record is from RNAcentral.
AUUGAACGCUGGCGGCAGGCCUAACACAUGCAAGUCGAGCGAGUGGCGGACAGGUGAGUAAUGUCUGGGAAACUGCACGAUGGAGGGGGAUCACUACUGGCAACGGUAGCUAAUACCGCAUCCUAUCGGCUGUGCCCAGCUGGGAUUCUCUAGUAGGUGGGGGAACGGCGCACCUAGGCGACGAUCCCUAGCUGGUCUGAGAGGAUGAACAGCCACACUGGACCGGAGACACGGUCCAGACUCCUACGGGAGUCAGCAGUGGGGAAUAUUGCACAAUGGGCGCAAGCCUGCUGCAGCCAUGCCGCGUGUAUGAAGAAGGCCUUCGGGUUGUAAAGUACUUUCAGCGGGGAGGCGUGACCCGCAGAAGAAGCACCGGCUAACUCCGUGCCAGCCGCCGCGGUAAUUC